Molecule: ribosomal RNA, 468 nt
Filed under: uncultured bacterium
Lineage: Bacteria
Description: partial 16S ribosomal RNA
Rfam family: Bacterial small subunit ribosomal RNA
Source: RNAcentral
GACGAACGCUGGCGGCGUGCUUAACACAUGCAAGUCGAACGGAAAGGCCCUGCUUUUGUCUGGUGCUCGAGUGGCGAACGGGUGAGUAACACGUGAGUAACCUGCCCUUGACUUUGGGAUAACUACAGGAAACUAGGGCUAAUACCGGCUAGGAGCUCCUGCUGCAUGGUGGGGGGUGGAAUGUUUCGGCGGUUGGGGAUGGACUCGCGGCUUAUCAGCUUGUUGGUGGGGUAGUGGCUUACCAAGGCUGUGACGGGUAGCCGGCCUGAGAGGGUGACCGGCCACAUUGGGACUGAGAUACGGCCCAGACUCCUACGGGAGGCAGCAGUGGGGAAUAUUGCACAAUGGGCGGAAGCCUGAUGCAGCGACGCCGCGUGCGGGAUGACGGCCUUCGGGUUGUAAACCGCUUUCGCCUGUGACGAAGCGUGAGUGACGGUAAUGGGAGAAGAAGCACCGGCUAACUACGUG